RNAcentral lists this ribosomal RNA (253 nucleotides) under uncultured bacterium. RNAcentral describes it as "partial 16S ribosomal RNA". It matches the Rfam family "Bacterial small subunit ribosomal RNA", at positions 524 to 776 of the family's 1533-position model. The record is from RNAcentral.
GACGAGGGGUCCUAGCGUUGUUCGGAAUUACUGGGCGUAAAGCGCACGUAGGCGGCUAUGUAAGUCGGAUGUGAAAGCCCCGGGCUUAACCCGGGAAGUGCAUCCGAUACUGUAUAGCUUGAGUUUGGGAGAGGGCAGUGGAAUUCCUGGUGUAGUGGUGAAAUACGUAGAUAUCAGGAGGAACACCGGUGGCGAAGGCGGCUGCCUGGCCCACAACUGACGCUGAGGUGCGAAAGCGUGGGGAUCAAACAGG